AUUGAACGCUGGCGGCAGGCCUAACACAUGCAAGUCGAGCGGAUGAAGGGAGCUUGCUCCUGGAUUCAGCGGCGGACGGGUGAGUAAUGCCUAGGAAUCUGCCUGGUAGUGGGGGAUAACGUCCGGAAACGGGCGCUAAUACCGCAUACGUCCUGAGGGAGAAAGUGGGGGAUCUUCGGACCUCACGCUAUCAGAUGAGCCUAGGUCGGAUUAGCUAGUUGGUGGGGUAAAGGCCUACCAAGGCGACGAUCCGUAACUGGUCUGAGAGGAUGAUCAGUCACACUGGAACUGGGACACGGUCCAGCCCCCUACGGGAGGCAGCGGUGGGAAUUAUUGGACAGUGGGCGAAAGCCUGUUCCAGCCAUGCCGCGUGUGUGAAGAAGGUCUUCGGAUGGUAAAGCACUUUAAGUUGGGAGUAAGGGCAGUAAGUUAAUACCUUGCUGUUUUGACGUUACCAACAGAAUAAGCACCGGCUAACUCCUU
Molecule: ribosomal RNA, 483 nt
Filed under: uncultured bacterium
Lineage: Bacteria
Description: partial 16S ribosomal RNA
Rfam family: Bacterial small subunit ribosomal RNA
Source: RNAcentral